Mastomys coucha (southern multimammate mouse) is the source of this 1139-nucleotide long non-coding RNA. RefSeq lists it as uncharacterized. The transcript is spliced from 3 exons. The record is from RefSeq and is a predicted model, not a curated record. NCBI's taxonomy places the organism in Eukaryota, Metazoa, Chordata, Mammalia, Rodentia, Muridae.
CACAUGGACUGUUAGGAGGUACAAUUGGGAACUGAGAGAGUAGCUGAAGGUCACUAGGGCACACCUUGUACCAAGUCUUUUCCUGUGCCUUUCCUUGCUUCCUGGCUAUCAGCAGCUUGUCUCUACUACACACUUCCACCAUGAAAUUUCUGCUCCACCACAGAAGAAAAACCAAUGAAGCCAAACAACCAUGAACUGAAACCUGUAAAAACAUACACCAAAAUAAUCCUUACUCAGAGAAGUGGAUUGAUUGGGCAUUUUUAUCACCGUGACAGGAAGUUGACUAACAAAUCACGUCAAUAGAAAUGCUACUGAGGAAGCCUGCAGUAUAAAGAUUGAAUCAGAUGGUCUCUACGAAUGCAUACAUUGGUAAGGCUGCACCAUCUGAUGUGGAGAUCUUCCAGAGUUUUCCUUGGCUCUUGCUUGAUUUCACAAUUUGUUUACAUACUUUGUACAUAACAUUAGUCAGUGUUUUCCAGAGAAACAGAACCAAUUAAAUGUGUGUAUAUAUAUGCAUGUGUGUAUACAUAUAUCAUAAGGAAUUGGCUCACACCAUGGAGACUGAAUCCAGACCUGGAACGCCAAUGGUAUAUACUGCAGUCUAAUACAAGAGCAAAGGCAGGAAAGACAGACAGGCAGAAACAAUCUUCUUGCUCAACCUGUUAUUCUAUGGACGCCUUCAAGAGAUUGGUUUCUUGCAGCCUGGCAGAGAGCAACGCCCUGUUUGACAAGCAAACAAAUGGCCCAGAGCUGUCUGCGGGAUGCUGAUGAACCCAUAUUAAUGAAUCGUCUCAUCAGUGAAAGCUGCCCUCUGGGCAGAGCUGCCACAGGCUGGAGUCUUCAGAUUCAGUUGCCUUCUUUGUCAGGUCCUUGUCCAUCGACAAGGGCAUGGCACCUCAAUAGACAUCUGUGGAUGGUCAUCUUUCCCAAUGCUGUGAUAGCAGGAGUACUGAGGGACUUAGUUAGGUCCCUUUAUUCUUCUGCCACAGUAUCUGCCCCUUGCUCACUCCCUGUCAGAUAUUUCCACCUUUCACAUUCAUGGUCCAAGCCCUUCGGUGAAUGCUAAGCAAUUCUUAAAUGGGAAUAAAGAAUCAUUUACAGGGUUCAGAGUCUUAUGACCUGGGUCUUAUUUUUCCUAA